UAACGCGUGGGUAACCUGCCUUGCACUGGGGGAUAACACUUAGAAAUAGGUGCUAAUACCGCAUAACAGUAGGAGACGCAUGUCUUUUACUUGAAAACUCCGGUGGUGUAAGAUGGACCCGCGUCUGAUUAGCUUGUUGGCGGGGUAACGGCCCACCAAGGCAACGAUCAGUAGCCGGCCUGAGAGGGUGAACGGCCACAUUGGGACUGAGACACGGCCCAAACUCCUACGGGAGGCAGCAGUGGGGAAUAUUGGACAAUGGGGGGAACCCUGAUCCAGCGACGCCGCGUGAGUGAAGAAGUAUUUCGGUAUGUAAAGCUCUAUCAGCAGGGAAGAAAGAAAUGACGGUACCUGACUAAGAAGCCCCGGCUAACUACGUGCCAGCAGCCGCGGUAAUACGUAGGGGGCAAGCGUUAUCCGGAUUUACUGGGUGUAAAGGGAGCGUAGACGGCGAUGCAAGUCUGAAGUGAAAGGCGGGGGCCCAACCCCCGGACUGCUUUGGAAACUGUAUGGCUGGAGUGCAGGAGAGGUAAGUGGAAUUCCUAGUGUAGCGGUGAAAUGCGUAGAUAUUAGGAGGAACACCAGUGGCGAAGGCGGCUUACUGGACUGUAACUGACGUUGAGGCUCGAAAGCGUGGGGAGCAAACAGGAUUAGAUACCCUGGUAGU
This 667-nucleotide ribosomal RNA is filed under the name uncultured bacterium. RNAcentral's name for it is "bacterial SSU rRNA". It matches the Rfam family "Bacterial small subunit ribosomal RNA", at positions 111 to 794 of the family's 1533-position model. The record is from RNAcentral.